GCUUCCUGGGUACCACUCUUCAUGACACAGUGCAGGUGGCAUCGGAUGAGCGGGGCAAGAGCUGUGUCACCUACCGCCCCCUCAGCCCGAGCAAUCGAGGAGGCGGAGGCGCCUGGCGGGGCU
Molecule: non-coding RNA, 123 nt
Filed under: Chromera velia
Lineage: Eukaryota; Chromeraceae
Source: RNAcentral